GGUUAAGCGACUAAGCGUACACGGUGGAUGCCCUGGCAGUCAGAGGCGAUGAAGGACGUGCUAAUCUGCGAUAAGCGUCGGUAAGGUGAUAUGAACCGUUAUAACCGGCGAUUUCCGAAUGGGGAAACCCAGUGUGUUUCGACACACUAUCAUUAACUGAAUCCAUAGGUUAAUGAGGCGAACCGGGGGAACUGAAACAUCUAAGUACCCCGAGGAAAAGAAAUCAACCGAGAUUCCCCCAGUAGCGGCGAGCGAACGGGGAGCAGCCCAGAGCCUGAAUCAGUGUGUGUGUUAGUGGAAGCGUCUGGAAAGGCGCGCGAUACAGGGUGACAGCCCCGUACACAAAAAUGCACAUGCUGUGAGCUCGAUGAGUAGGGCGGGACACGUGGUAUCCUGUCUGAAUAUGGGGGGACCAUCCUCCAAGGCUAAAUACUCCUGACUGACCGAUAGUGAACCAGUACCGUGAGGGAAAGGCGAAAAGAACCCCGGCGAGGGGAGUGAAAAAGAACCUGAAACCGUGUACGUACAAGCAGUGGGAGCCUCUUUAUGGGGUGACUGCGUACCUUUUGUAUAAUGGGUCAGCGACUUAUAUUCUGUAGCAAGGUUAACCGAAUAGGGGAGCCGAAGGGAAACCGAGUCUUAACUGGGCGUUAAGUUGCAGGGUAUAGACCCGAAACCCGGUGAUCUAGCCAUGGGCAGGUUGAAGGUUGGGUAACACUAACUGGAGGACCGAACCGACUAAUGUUGAAAAAUUAGCGGAUGACUUGUGGCUGGGGGUGAAAGGCCAAUCAAACCGGGAGAUAGCUGGUUCUCCCCGAAAGCUAUUUAGGUAGCGCCUCGUGAAUUCAUCUCCGGGGGUAGAGCACUGUUUCGGCAAGGGGGUCAUCCCGACUUACCAACCCGAUGCAAACUGCGAAUACCGGAGAAUGUUAUCACGGGAGACACACGGCGGGUGCUAACGUCCGUCGUGAAGAGGGAAACAACCCAGACCGCCAGCUAAGGUCCCAAAGUCAUGGUUAAGUGGGAAACGAUGUGGGAAGGCCCAGACAGCCAGGAUGUUGGCUUAGAAGCAGCCAUCAUUUAAAGAAAGCGUAAUAGCUCACUGGUCGAGUCGGCCUGCGCGGAAGAUGUAACGGGGCUAAACCAUGCACCGAAGCUGCGGCAGCGACGCUUAUGCGUUGUUGGGUAGGGGAGCGUUCUGUAAGCCUGUGAAGGUGUGCUGUGAGGCAUGCUGGAGGUAUCAGAAGUGCGAAUGCUGACAUAAGUAACGAUAAAGCGGGUGAAAAGCCCGCUCGCCGGAAGACCAAGGGUUCCUGUCCAACGUUAAUCGGGGCAGGGUGAGUCGACCCCUAAGGCGAGGCCGAAAGGCGUAGUCGAUGGGAAACAGGUUAAUAUUCCUGUACUUGGUGUUACUGCGAAGGGGGGACGGAGAAGGCUAUGUUGGCCGGGCGACGGUUGUCCCGGUUUAAGCGUGUAGGCUGGUUUUCCAGGCAAAUCCGGAAAAUCAAGGCUGAGGCGUGAUGACGAGGCACUACGGUGCUGAAGCAACAAAUGCCCUGCUUCCAGGAAAAGCCUCUAAGCAUCAGGUAACAUCAAAUCGUACCCCAAACCGACACAGGUGGUCAGGUAGAGAAUACCAAGGCGCUUGAGAGAACUCGGGUGAAGGAACUAGGCAAAAUGGUGCCGUAACUUCGGGAGAAGGCACGCUGAUAUGUAGGUGAAGCGACUUGCUCGUGGAGCUGAAAUCAGUCGAAGAUACCAGCUGGCUGCAACUGUUUAUUAAAAACACAGCACUGUGCAAACACGAAAGUGGACGUAUACGGUGUGACGCCUGCCCGGUGCCGGAAGGUUAAUUGAUGGAGUCAGCGCAAGCGAAGCUCUUGAUCGAAGCCCCGGUAAACGGCGGCCGUAACUAUAACGGUCCUAAGGUAGCGAAAUUCCUUGUCGGGUAAGUUCCGACCUGCACGAAUGGCGUAAUGAUGGCCAGGCUGUCUCCACCCGAGACUCAGUGAAAUUGAACUCGCUGUGAAGAUGCAGUGUACCCGCGGCAAGACGGAAAGACCCCGUGAACCUUUACUAUAGCUUGACACUGAACAUUGAGCCUUGAUGUGUAGGAUAGGUGGGAGGCUUUGAAGUGUGGACGCCAGUCUGCAUGGAGCCGACCUUGAAAUACCACCCUUUAAUGUUUGAUGUUCUAACGUUGACCCGUGAUCCGGGUUGCGGACAGUGUCUGGUGGGUAGUUUGACUGGGGCGGUCUCCUCCUAAAGAGUAACGGAGGAGCACGAAGGUUGGCUAAUCCUGGUCGGACAUCAGGAGGUUAGUGCAAUGGCAUAAGCCAGCUUGACUGCGAGCGUGACGGCGCGAGCAGGUGCGAAAGCAGGUCAUAGUGAUCCGGUGGUUCUGAAUGGAAGGGCCAUCGCUCAACGGAUAAAAGGUACUCCGGGGAUAACAGGCUGAUACCGCCCAAGAGUUCAUAUCGACGGCGGUGUUUGGCACCUCGAUGUCGGCUCAUCACAUCCUGGGGCUGAAGUAGGUCCCAAGGGUAUGGCUGUUCGCCAUUUAAAGUGGUACGCGAGCUGGGUUUAGAACGUCGUGAGACAGUUCGGUCCCUAUCUGCCGUGGGCGCUGGAGAACUGAGGGGGGCUGCUCCUAGUACGAGAGGACCGGAGUGGACGCAUCACUGGUGUUCGGGUUGUCAUGCCAAUGGCACUGCCCGGUAGCUAAAUGCGGAAGAGAUAAGUGCUGAAAGCAUCUAAGCACGAAACUUGCCCCGAGAUGAGUUCUCCCUGACUCCUUGAGAGUCCUGAAGGAACGUUGAAGACGACGACGUUGAUAGGCCGGGUGUGUAAGCGCAGCGAUGCGUUGAGCUAACCGGUACUAAUGAACCGUGAGGCUUAACCUU
RNAcentral lists this ribosomal RNA (2903 nucleotides) under Escherichia coli. RNAcentral describes it as "23S ribosomal RNA". It matches the Rfam family "Bacterial large subunit ribosomal RNA". Lineage: Bacteria; Pseudomonadati; Pseudomonadota; Gammaproteobacteria; Enterobacterales; Enterobacteriaceae. The record is from RNAcentral.